UGUGUGUUAGUGGAAGCGUCUGGAAAGGCGCGCGAUACAGGGUGACAGCCCCGUACACAAAAAUGCACAUGCUGUGAGCUCGAUGAGUAGGGCGGGACACGUGGUAUCCUGUCUGAAUAUGGGGGGACCAUCCUCCAAGGCUAAAUACUCCUGACUGACCGAUAGUGAACCAGUACCGUGAGGGAAAGGCGAAAAGAACCCCGGCGAGGGGAGUGAAAAAGAACCUGAAACCGUGUACGUACAAGCAGUGGGAGCACGCUUAGGCGUGUGACUGCGUACCUUUUGUAUAAUGGGUCAGCGACUUAUAUUCUGUAGCAAGGUUAACCGAAUAGGGGAGCCGAAGGGAAACCGAGUCUUAACUGGGCGUUAAGUUGCAGGGUAUAGACCCGAAACCCGGUGAUCUAGCCAUGGGCAGGUUGAAGGUUGGGUAACACUAACUGGAGGACCGAACCGACUAAUGUUGAAAAAUUAGCGGAUGACUUGUGGCUGGGGGUGAAAGGCCAAUCAAACCGGGAGAUAGCUGGUUCUCCCCGAAAGCUAUUUAGGUAGCGCCUCGUGAAUUCAUCUCCGGGGGUAGAGCACUGUUUCGGCAAGGGGGUCAUCCCGACUUACCAACCCGAUGCAAACUGCGAAUACCGGAGAAUGUUAUCACGGGAGACACACGGCGGGUGCUAACGUCCGUCGUGAAGAGGGAAACAACCCAGACCGCCAGCUAAGGUCCCAAAGUCAUGGUUAAGUGGGAAACGAUGUGGGAAGGCCCAGACAGCCAGGAUGUUGGCUUAGAAGCAGCCAUCAUUUAAAGAAAGCGUAAUAGCUCACUGGUCGAGUCGGCCUGCGCGGAAGAUGUAACGGGGCUAAACCAUGCACCGAAGCUGCGGCAGCGACGCUUAUGCGUUGUUGGGUAGGGGAGCGUUCUGUAAGCCUGUGAAGGUGUACUGUGAGGUAUGCUGGAGGUAUCAGAAGUGCGAAUGCUGACAUAAGUAACGAUAAAGCGGGUGAAAAGCCCGCUCGCCGGAAGACCAAGGGUUCCUGUCCAACGUUAAUCGGGGCAGGGUGAGUCGACCCCUAAGGCGAGGCCGAAAGGCGUAGUCGAUGGGAAACAGGUUAAUAUUCCUGUACUUGGUGUUACUGCGAAGGGGGGACGGAGAAGGCUAUGUUGGCCGGGCGACGGUUGUCCCGGUUUAAGCGUGUAGGCUGGUUUUCCAGGCAAAUCCGGAAAAUCAAGGCUGAGGCGUGAUGACGAGGCACUACGGUGCUGAAGCAACAAAUGCCCUGCUUCCAGGAAAAGCCUCUAAGCAUCAGGUAACAUCAAAUCGUACCCCAAACCGACACAGGUGGUCAGGUAGAGAAUACCAAGGCGCUUGAGAGAACUCGGGUGAAGGAACUAGGCAAAAUGGUGCCGUAACUUCGGGAGAAGGCACGCUGAUAUGUAGGUGAAGUCCCUCGCGGAUGGAGCUGAAAUCAGUCGAAGAUACCAGCUGGCUGCAACUGUUUAUUAAAAACACAGCACUGUGCAAACACGAAAGUGGACGUAUACGGUGUGACGCCUGCCCGGUGCCGGAAGGUUAAUUGAUGGGGUUAGCGCAAGCGAAGCUCUUGAUCGAAGCCCCGGUAAACGGCGGCCGUAACUAUAACGGUCCUAAGGUAGCGAAAUUCCUUGUCGGGUAAGUUCCGACCUGCACGAAUGGCGUAAUGAUGGCCAGGCUGUCUCCACCCGAGACUCAGUGAAAUUGAACUCGCUGUGAAGAUGCAGUGUACCCGCGGCAAGACGGAAAGACCCCGUGAACCUUUACUAUAGCUUGACACUGAACAUUGAGCCUUGAUGUGUAGGAUAGGUGGGAGGCUUUGAAGUGUGGACGCCAGUCUGCAUGGAGCCGACCUUGAAAUACCACCCUUUAAUGUUUGAUGUUCUAACGUGGACCCGUAAUCCGGGUUGCGGACAGUGUCUGGUGGGUAGUUUGACUGGGGCGGUCUCCUCCUAAAGAGUAACGGAGGAGCACGAAGGUUGGCUAAUCCUGGUCGGACAUCAGGAGGUUAGUGCAAUGGCAUAAGCCAGCUUGACUGCGAGCGUGACGGCGCGAGCAGGUGCGAAAGCAGGUCAUAGUGAUCCGGUGGUUCUGAAUGGAAGGGCCAUCGCUCAACGGAUAAAAGGUACUCCGGGGAUAACAGGCUGAUACCGCCCAAGAGUUCAUAUCGACGGCGGUGUUUGGCACCUCGAUGUCGGCUCAUCACAUCCUGGGGCUGAAGUAGGUCCCAAGGGUAUGGCUGUUCGCCAUUUAAAGUGGUACGCGAGCUGGGUUUAGAACGUCGUGAGACAGUUCGGUCCCUA
This 2329-nucleotide ribosomal RNA is filed under the name Escherichia coli O146. Its description in RNAcentral is "partial 23S ribosomal RNA". It matches the Rfam family "Bacterial large subunit ribosomal RNA", at positions 323 to 2640 of the family's 2925-position model. Lineage: Bacteria; Pseudomonadati; Pseudomonadota; Gammaproteobacteria; Enterobacterales; Enterobacteriaceae. The record is from RNAcentral.